Molecule: ribosomal RNA, 515 nt
Filed under: uncultured bacterium
Lineage: Bacteria
Description: partial 16S ribosomal RNA
Rfam family: Bacterial small subunit ribosomal RNA
Source: RNAcentral
GAUGAACGCUGGCGGCGUGCCUAAUACAUGCAGGUCGAGCGAAUGGAUUAAGAGCUUGCUCUUAUGAAGUUAGCGGCGGACGGGUGAGUAACACGUGGGUAACCUGCCCAUAAGACUGGGAUAACUCCGGGAGACCGGGGCUAAUACCGGAUAACAUUUUGAACCGCAUGGUUCGAAAUUGAAAGGCGGCUUCGGCUGUCACUUAUGGAUGGACCCGCGUCGCAUUAGCUAGUUGGUGAGGUAACGGCUCACCAAGGCAACGAUGCGUAGCCGACCUGAGAGGGUGAUCGGCCACACUGGGACUGAGACACGGCCCAGACUCCUACGGGAGGCAGAAGUAGGGAAUCUUCCGCAAUGGACGAAAGUCUGACGGAGCAACGCCGCGUGAGUGAUGAAGGCUUUCGGGUCGUAAAACUCUGUUGUUAGGGAAGAACAAGUGCUAGUUGAAUAAGCUGACACCUUGACGGUACCUAACCAGAAAGCCACGGCUAACUACGUGCCAGCCGCCGCCGUAA